AUUGAACGCUGGCGGCAGGCCUAACACAUGCAAGUCGAGCGGAUGAAGGGAGCUUGCUCCUGGAUUCAGCGGCGGACGGGUGAGUAAUGCCUAGGAAUCUGCCUGGUAGUGGGGGAUAACGUCCGGAAACGGGCGCUAAUACCGCAUACGUCCUGAGGGAGAAAGUGGGGGAUCUUCGGACCUCACGCUAUCAGAUGAGCCUAGGUCGGAUUAGCUAGUUGGUGGGGUAAAGGCCCACCAAGGCGACGAUCCGUAACUGGUCUGAGAGGAUGAUCAGUCACACUGGAACUGAGACACGGUCCAGACUCCUACGGGAGGCAGCAGUGGGGAAUAUUGGACAAUGGGCGAAAGCCUGAUCCAGCCAUGCCGCGUGUGUGAAGAAGGUCUUCGGAUUGUAGAGCACUUUAAGUUGGGAGGAAGGGCAGUAAGUUAAUACCUUGCUGUUUUGACGUUACCAACAGAAUAAGCACCGGCUAACUUCGUG
Molecule: ribosomal RNA, 484 nt
Filed under: uncultured bacterium
Lineage: Bacteria
Description: partial 16S ribosomal RNA
Rfam family: Bacterial small subunit ribosomal RNA
Source: RNAcentral